This 479-nucleotide ribosomal RNA is filed under the name uncultured anaerobic ammonium-oxidizing bacterium. RNAcentral describes it as "bacterial SSU rRNA". It matches the Rfam family "Bacterial small subunit ribosomal RNA", at positions 364 to 833 of the family's 1533-position model. The record is from RNAcentral.
UUUCGCAAUGCCCGAAAGGGUGGCGAAGCGACGCCGCGUGAGUGAGGAAGGCCUUCGGGUUGUAAAGCUCUGUCAGGAGUUAAGAAAUAUAAGUGUGUUAAUACCACAUUUAUUUGACGAAGGCUCCAAAGGAAGCCACGGCUAACUCUGUGUCAGCAGCCGCGGUAAUACAGAGGUGGCAAGCGUUGUUCGGAAUUAUUGGGCGUAAAGAGCACGUAGGUGGGUUUGUAAGUCAGAUGUGAAAGCCUUCUGUUCAACGGAAGAAUUGCAUCUGAAACUGCGAGUCUUGAGUGUAGGAGGGGAGAAUGGAACUUCUGGUGGAGCGGUGAAAUGCGUAGAUAUCAGAAGGAACGCCGGCGGCGAAAGCGAUUCUCUGGCCUAUUACUGACACUCGGUGUGCGAAAGCUAGGGGAGCAAACGGGAUUAGAUACCCCGGUAGUCCUAGCUGUAAACGAUGGGCACUAAGUAGAGGGGUUUUA